This 253-nucleotide ribosomal RNA is filed under the name uncultured bacterium. RNAcentral's name for it is "partial 16S ribosomal RNA". It matches the Rfam family "Bacterial small subunit ribosomal RNA", at positions 524 to 776 of the family's 1533-position model. The record is from RNAcentral.
GACAGAGGGUGCAAACGUUGUUCGGAAUUACUGGGCGUAAAGCGCGUGUAGGCGGCUAUGUAAGUCGGGCGUGAAAUCCCACGGCUCAACCGUGGAAGUGCACCCGAAACUGCGUAGCUAGAGUCCUGGAGAGGAAGGUGGAAUGCUUGGUGUAGAGGUGAAAUUCGUAGAUAUCAAGCGGAACACCGGUGGCGAAGGCGGUCUUCUGGACAGUGACUGACGCUGAGACGCGAAAGCGUGGGGAGCAAACAGG